UACGGAGGGUGCAAGCGUUAAUCGGAAUUACUGGGCGUAAAGCGCACGCAGGUGGCUGAGUCAGUCGAUUGUGAAAGCCCUGGGCUUAACCUGGGAAUUGCAGUCGAUACUACUUAGCUAGAGUAUGGGAGAGGGCAGUGGAAUUCCCGGUGUAGUGGUGAAAUGCGUAGAUAUCGGGAGGAACACCAGUGGCGAAGGCGACUUCCUGGCCUGUUCUUGACGCUGAGGCGCGAAAGCUAGGGGAGCAAACGGG
This 253-nucleotide ribosomal RNA is filed under the name uncultured bacterium. Its description in RNAcentral is "partial 16S ribosomal RNA". It matches the Rfam family "Bacterial small subunit ribosomal RNA", at positions 524 to 776 of the family's 1533-position model. The record is from RNAcentral.